RNAcentral lists this ribosomal RNA (511 nucleotides) under uncultured bacterium. RNAcentral's name for it is "bacterial SSU rRNA". It matches the Rfam family "Bacterial small subunit ribosomal RNA", at positions 17 to 518 of the family's 1533-position model. The record is from RNAcentral.
UUCUGGCUCAGGAUGAACGCUAGCUACAGGCUUAACACAUGCAAGUCGAGGGGCAGCGGGAAGUUAGCUGCUAACUUGCCGGCGACCGGCGCACGGGUGAGUAACGCGUAUCCAACCUUCCCCUUAGUAGGGCAUAGCCCGUAGAAAUGCGGAUUAAUACCCUAUGUUAUUCGUCGAUGACAUCUGAAGUGAAUCAAAGGUUUACCGCUAAGGGAUGGGGAUGCGUCUGAUUAGGCAGCAGGCGGGGUAACGGCCCACCUGGCCGACGAUCAGUAGGGGUUCUGAGAGGAAGGUCCCCCACAUUGGAACUGAGACACGGUCCAAACUCCUACGGGAGGCAGCAGUGAGGAAUAUUGGUCAAUGGUCGAGAGACUGAACCAGCCAAGUAGCGUGCAAGGAUGACGGCCCUAUGGGUUGUAAACUGCUUUUGUGCGGGAAUAAAGUCAGGGACGCGUCCCUGUUUGCAUGUACCGCAAGAAUAAGGACCGGCUAAUUCCGUGCCAGCCGCUGC